Long non-coding RNA from Xenopus tropicalis (tropical clawed frog), 1024 nucleotides. RefSeq annotates it as insulin 1 precursor. The record is from RefSeq and is a predicted model, not a curated record. The transcript is spliced from 3 exons. Lineage: Eukaryota; Metazoa; Chordata; Amphibia; Anura; Pipidae.
UGAUAAUAGAGUGCUGCCCAUAACCAUUUGGAUCCUACAGAAGUACCCUGGGCCGGUGCAGUUUCCAGCAAACAAGAGCAGCCUGGGGUCUCAGGUACAGGUGAAGUUUGUAUACGGUGUAUGCAUCAGGAACAUGGCACAAGGUGAUUGGCCGAAGACUCUAGUGGUUUUGAUGCUCCUGUCUUACCUAAGGGACACUCAUGAGGCCAGCGUUCACCGUCUUUGUGGGUUACACUUGGUUGAGGCUCUGCUCUUGGUGUGUGAAGGCAGAGGAUUUUACUACAGGCCUCAAAAAGGUUUCAAUGUACACACAAGCCGCCUGGGAACUUUCAUAGAACGUACUUCACAGAUGAACCACAAGAAGCUCGGCAUAGUGGAAAAGUGCUGUUACCGCUCCUGUACUUAUUAUGACCUGGAGCACUACUGUAAUCGUUAACACUGGUAUAGACACUGCUAUAGAAAGAAGUGAUGGGGCAGGCACCUUCUAAUGGGAAGCCUCUAUGCUCCAUUGUGCUGUAGGGCAAGCUGCACUGGAGAAUAUUCCAGUAACCCCAGCCACUGACAGCUCUGAGUGAUCACUUUGUUUUCUCACCUGAGCUUUAGGCUUUGUGUUUGUCCACUUGUUUACAAGAGCGUCCGGCUAUUGUGCCCUAGGUGCUAUGUGGAAUCUAAGAUGCUUCUGUUAUCUUCAAGACUGAAAAACAACACAUAAGGAAAGCAGAGCACAAAUACCUUCUGGAGAGGCUGACACUUUCCUGUGCCACCUAUCAUUUACAUGAAUGGAGAAAGUGUCUGUGUUAUCUGCUGUAGAUACUAUACAUAUACUAUAGAUCUGCUAUAGAUACUAUAAAUAUACUACAGAUCUGCCAAACUCAAUGGCAGGUGUCAUGGGCAGUUUUGUACAUUCCUCCAGCUGAAGAAAAUAGUAUGCCAUUAGCCUAUAGGAAAAUGUUAAAACUCAUGUUGUUAAUAUUUAAAGAAAUUUUAUUUGUACAUUGAUGAAUAUUAAAUAGUUUUAUGGUGA